AUACGGAGGGGGCUAGCGUUGUUCGGAAUUACUGGGCGUAAAGCGUACGUAGGCGGACUGAUCAGUUGGGGGUGAAAUCCCAGGGCUUAACCCUGGAACUGCCUUCAAUACUGUCAGUCUUGAGAUUGGAAGAGGUGAGUGGAAUUCCUAGUUUAGAGGUGAAAUUCAUAGAUAUUAGGAGGAACACCAGUGGCGAAGGCGGCUCACUGGUCCAAUACUGGCGCUGAGGUACGAAAGCGUGGGGAGCAAACAGGAUUAGAUACCCUAGUAGUCC
RNAcentral lists this ribosomal RNA (274 nucleotides) under uncultured bacterium. Its description in RNAcentral is "partial 16S ribosomal RNA". It matches the Rfam family "Bacterial small subunit ribosomal RNA", at positions 523 to 796 of the family's 1533-position model. The record is from RNAcentral.